Molecule: microRNA, 21 nt
Filed under: Danio rerio (zebrafish)
Lineage: Eukaryota; Metazoa; Chordata; Actinopteri; Cypriniformes; Danionidae
Description: dre-miR-7149-5p
Source: miRBase by way of RNAcentral
UGUGAAUCCUACACUGGAAGG